This 80-nucleotide transfer RNA is filed under the name Cytophaga hutchinsonii ATCC 33406. RNAcentral describes it as "tRNA-Asn". It matches the Rfam family "tRNA". From Rfam's summary of the family: Transfer RNA (tRNA) molecules are approximately 80 nucleotides in length. Their secondary structure includes four short double-helical elements and three loops (D, anti-codon, and T loops). Lineage: Bacteria; Pseudomonadati; Bacteroidota; Cytophagia; Cytophagales; Cytophagaceae. The record is from RNAcentral.
UCCUCCUUAGCUCAGCUGGUUAGAGCACAUGACUGUUAAUCAUGGGGUCCUUGGUUCGAGCCCAAGAGGGGGAGCCUGCU